This 376-nucleotide unclassified non-coding RNA is filed under the name uncultured Actinomycetes bacterium. RNAcentral's name for it is "uncultured actinobacterium contains 16S-23S intergenic spacer region". The record is from RNAcentral. Lineage: Bacteria; Bacillati; Actinomycetota; Actinomycetes.
UCCGAGUUGACCCCGGCAGUAUCCCAUGAGUUCCCACCAUUACGUGCUGGCAACAUAGAACGAGGGUUGCGCUCGUUGCGGGACUUAACCCAACAUCUCACGACACGAGCUGACGACAGCCAUGCACCACCUGUCACCGGCCCCGAAGGACCCCACAUCUCUGCGAGUUUUCCGGCGAUGUCAAACCCAGGUAAGGUUCUUCGCGUUGCAUCGAAUUAAGCAACAUGCUCCACCGCUUGUGUGAGCCCCCGUCAAUUCCUUUGAGUUUCAGCCUUGCGGCCGUACUCCCCAGGCGGGGCACUUAACGCGUUAGCUGCGGCACCGAAGGGGUCGUUCCCCCCGGCACCUAGUGCCCAUCGUUUACGGCGUGGACUAC